CCUACGGGAGGCAGCAGUGGGGAAUAUUGCACAAUGGGGGAAACCCUGAUGCAGCGAAGCCGCGUGAGUGAAGACGUAUUUCGGUAUGUCAAGCUCUAUCCGCAGGGAAGAUAAUGACGGUACCUGACUAAGAAGCCCCGGCUAACUACGUGCCAGCAGCCGCGGUAAUACGUAGGGGGCAAGCGUUAUCCGGCUUUACUGGGUGUAAAGGGAGCGUAGGUGGCAGGGGAAGUCAGAUGUGAAAACCCGGGGCGCAACCCCGGGAGUGCAUUUGAAACUGUCCAGCGGGAGUACAGGAGAGGUAGGCGGAAUUCCUAGUGUAGCGGUGAAAUGCAUAGAUAGUAGGAGGAACACCAGUGGCGAAGGCGGCUUACUGGACUGUAACUGACACUGAGGCUCGAAAGCGUGGGGAGCAAACAGGAGUAGAUACCCGUGUAGUC
This 440-nucleotide ribosomal RNA is filed under the name uncultured bacterium. RNAcentral's name for it is "partial 16S ribosomal RNA". It matches the Rfam family "Bacterial small subunit ribosomal RNA", at positions 338 to 795 of the family's 1533-position model. The record is from RNAcentral.